This 335-nucleotide ribosomal RNA is filed under the name uncultured bacterium. Its description in RNAcentral is "bacterial SSU rRNA". It matches the Rfam family "Bacterial small subunit ribosomal RNA", at positions 28 to 355 of the family's 1533-position model. The record is from RNAcentral.
GACGAACGCUGGCGGCGUGCCUAACACAUGCAAGUCAGGGAUUGAAGGGUAGCAAUACUUUUUCAAGACCGGCGCACGGGUGAGUAACACGUAGGUAAUCUACCCUUAGGCGGGGAACAACCCCGAGAAAUCGGGGCUAAUACCGCAUAAUGCAACGAGACCACAUGUAUUUUGUUGUUAAAGAUCCGCAAGGAUCACCAGAGGAUGAACCUGCGUCCGAUUAGCUAGUUGGCGGAGUAAAGCCCACCAAGGCGACGAUCGGUAGCCGACCUGAGAGGGUGAUCGGCCACACUGGAACUGAGAUACGGUCCAGACUCCUACGGGGAGGCAGCGGU